CCAUGUUGGGUACAACAAAGAAAACAGUAAACCCUGUGUUGUGAUGGUGUGAAUAUUUAUCUGUGGGUAUACAACUCCAGAAUCUAACUGUAAAGGUCCACCAGGUAAAUAUUGCCCACUCUGUUGUCUAGGGAUGUAGUAGGUGUCUUGCUGCAGUCUGUCACCUCUUCCCCAUGCUCUGUGGAGGGUUGCUGAGAGGAGAGACUGGGAGGAAGCAGAAGUGAGUUCUACCAGGAAUCUGACCAGAGGUAGAUGACUUCUCUCUUUGAGAGCAGAAGAUACAAAAGCUCCUCUUCUAUGCAGCCAUCUGUGACCGCUUCCAUUGAGAACCACAGAAGCCCACGGUUUGGGCCAUGGAUGAUGAUAGGGAUGGCUGAGGCAGACAUGGUUGCCCACUUAAGAGGAUUUGCACACCUUCAUUGGAACAGAAAGUGUAUUUCCUCUUUGAUAUUCCUAUGUUUCCCCACCUUUUUUUUUUUCCAGUACCUCCUCAGAGGCCCCAAAUCAAAACAAGACUUGUUGGUGCCAAAAUCCAGCUAAAAGUCACAAACAGACUUUGAUAGGAAUUUUCUGAGGUAAAAUUUUUCAGAAUAGGGUUUGAAAGGUCUGAACUCCUCUCCAGGCCUAAAUAGGUUGGACUUUAGAAGAGACUUCUCUGAAAACAUCCACUCAAUGUGCAGCGGCAGUCAAAAAGGCAAACAGAAUAUUGGGAAUCAUUAAGAAAGGGAUAGAUAAGACAGAAAAUAUGAUAUUGCCUCUAUAUAAAUCCAUGGUACUCCCACAUCUUCAAUACUGCAUGCAACUGUGGUCGCUCCAUCUAAAAAAAAAUAUAUAUUGGACUUGGAAAAAUUCAGAGAAGGGCAACAAAAAUGAUUAGGGGUAUGGAAGGGCUGCUGUGUGAGGAGAUUAAUGACUGGGAGUUUUCAGCUUGGAAAAGAGAUGACUAAUGGGGGAAUAUGUUAGAGGUCUAUAAAAUCAUGACUGGGGUGGAGAAAGUAAAUAAGGAAGUGUUGUUUACUCCUUCUUAUAACACAAGAACUAGGGGCUACCAAAUGAAAUUAAUAGGCAGCAGGCUUAAAACAAACAAAAGGAAGCAUAUUUUCACACAACGCACAGUCAACCUAUGGAACGCCUUGCCAGAGGAUGUUGUGAAGGCAAAGACUAUAACAGGGUUCAAAAAAGAACUAGAUAAAUUCAUGGAGGAUAGGUCCAUCAAUGGCUAUUAGCCAGGAUGGGAAGGGAUGGUGUCUCUAGCCUGUUUGCCAGAAGCUGGGAACGGGCGACAGGGGAUGGAUCACUUGAUGAUUACCUGUUCUGUUCAUUCCUUCUGCGGCACCUGGCAUUGGCCACUGUCAGAAGACAGGAUACUGGGCUAGAUGGACCUUUGGUCUAACCCAUAUGGCCAUUCUUAUGUUCUUCUCAUGACUUUCUGUGGUGGGUUUCUUCCAUAGAGACUAACAGGUACUAAUGCUUUGCAGACGAAGGCUUGUCUGUUUGAGCUGCUGAGAAAGAAGAGUAAUAGUGACAGCUCCUCAGUGGAGUCUAGUCUGCAGUAGUGACUGACAGAAUUAGACCCAGGAGAGACUGAAGAUUGUCUAGGGUGUAUAGGCUUACCUGUGAAAUACAAUUGCUGCUGACAGUAUUAGUUUUUAAAAUGACAGAGCACUAUAAACACCACUGGAGAAAAAUCAGUUUUACAAACAGACUUUCCUCAGGAACAUACCUAAUGGUUUCCUUGGAUCUGCACAAGUUCAUAUUAUGCACACAGGAGAUAGAGAUGCAACUUGCUUAUCACUGAAAUGAUUGUUAGGACUUGAUUUAACUGAUCUGACUUCAACAAAAAUAUCAACUCCUAGGUGGCAGCAGUAUUUAAUGUUAUGGAGCAGCUCACAAGGGAGAUAAAAGGAAAGAGAAUGUAUAGUUUCUAGCUUCUCUUAGGGCCUGCCUAGCACACUUACUGAAGGAGUCUUCAAGAAAGCAAGGGACACGCUACUUCAGUUUUUAGAUCCAUAUGAUGGUGAUUCAGAAGAUGCAUCAACCCACUCAGACUGUAGUUUGAAUUCUCUUAAUGAUAUAAACUAUAACCGAGGUGCACCUUUGGUGCACAAUUUGCCAGAGAUGGUGGAAGACCUUUACUCUUCUGAAAACACAGAGUCCCUACAUAUGUCUUCAAAUUGGGUCUCCCCAAAAACAGAAAUCUGUGAUGUCUAUAUGCAGCCAGUAAAUGACCUUAAAAUACAGAUGGAAGUUAUCACUAAAGAGAAAAGUGAUGUUCCAAUAAGACUUGCCAGGCCAUGUGAACGGUCCAGAACCUCUGGAGUACUUGCCUCUGCAAUGUGGCUGACAUCUGACUGUUCCUUACUCAUGAGUGUUGAGCCUUCAAAAUAUGCCGGAGUCCUAGAAAGCCCAGUCACCACUACUCUGCAACAACCCAUGUUAGCAAAGUCUGAUGGUGAAAAUACAAUGUGUGACCAAUCAAUAAUCAAGAGAAAACUAGGGCUUCCAUUUCUAGAGGGUGUUGGUGAAAAGCUAAGAAGAAAGAAAUUGCGUUCAACCUAAUCUAAGUGAGUGCGCCAUCUUCAGUGAGGCCUGUUCCUGCUUCCUGCAGCUGCUUUGUUCCCAUCGUGAAUGGUCACUUGCAGGUUCAGCCUUGGAUAACUGCCAAAAUGACUCAAAUCACACAAACCAGAAGUUUGGGGGAGCAGAUAAUCCUCAUCAACUUUCAUUUUGCAGGGUCAAACUGACUUUCCCUUUUAUUUGGUGUUGAUAAUGAACUCUAACAGAGCCUGUUUCUUUAACCUUCUCUCCAGUACUGUGCAUGCCAACGUGGGUUUAUAAUGUAAAUACCCAACAGUUGAAGUUCUUCUACAAUGAGGGGUUUUUAUUUUUCCUUUUAGGAGAAUGAUUUUUCUUUCUCAAACCUGCUGUUAAAUAGUGAUCAGGUCCAGGAGAAUAAAUAACCAUUUUAAUUCGCAUGGUUACCUCUUUUUGUCUUCCCUUCCAUAUGGUAUGGGGUAGAUUCUGGGGGGAGUAAUCUAGAGAAGGAGAAAGGGCUCCAUGGAGCCCCGUUGCUCAGCACUAGUAAAACUGUCUCCUACUGAACAAAUGUAGAUGUGUGGGAUUUACCUAGUAGCAGGAAGAGUGAGAGAAGGGUAUUUUGUUGCAGCACCACCCAGAGCUACAGGGAUGUUUGUUUAAACUUUUUUUCAAAUCUACUA
Caretta caretta (loggerhead turtle) is the source of this 3218-nucleotide non-coding RNA. The record is from RefSeq and is a predicted model, not a curated record. NCBI's taxonomy places the organism in Eukaryota, Metazoa, Chordata, Testudines, Cheloniidae.